GGGGAAGGGAGGAGCCGCCCCUGGUUCCACGGCCACUGCUUCCCAGGGUCCCCAUCCCGCUGUCACAGCCCCUGUCCUCGUGCCCUCCCAGAGGCAUCUCCACCCACCGAAGCCACCCUGCUGGCCCACUGAGUACCAGCGCCAUCAGGGAGGAACCCACUGUCCGCAGCUCAUGGAAGUGCGGGCGUGCACGUUGCGUGCGGGCAGCUUCUCUGGGGCAUGCAGCAAGGGCUGUGGGGCGUGGGCUGGCCCGGGGCUGCAGGGCAUCCUGCAGGGCCCACCGGCCGCCUCCUGGCUGCUGCCCUUGUGUUCAGGGAGGCAAUGGUGGGGAUCCACGGCCUUCUGUCCCCUCCCUGCCCAUGCCGCUGAGCACCUUCUGUGCUGGUCUGGGCUGUGGGUUUCCACGCCCGCCUUCUCCCACAGUCAGGACGACGACCCAUGUGCCGGUGCCACGAGGGUGGGGUGUCCGGUGGUGGAGGCUGGGCAUCCCCGCAGACCCUGCCCUGGGUCAGGGCCGUCUCGCCGCGAUCGACUCCCAACGCUGCAGUGGGACAGCUGGUGUGUAUUUGUGCGUGAGUGUGUUAGGAGUGCAGGGAUUUGAACCUCAGUGUAAGAACAUGUAAGAGGGAAUGUCAGGGUCAUCUUUGCGUGGAAAUCCUGAGAGCUCACGUGUCAGCUUCACAGCCCUCCUGGGCUUCGGUCAGCGGACUGUUUCUUCAGGUUUUCAGGAAGAGCUAUAUCCUGCCGGGGCCAUGGCUUCCCUCAUCUGUGAUUUAUGACAGUACAUGUUCCAACACGUUACUGACAAAUUAUUUAUGAAGCAAAGUUUUGUAUAUAAAACCUUAUUCCCCCAUGGAAUUAUUUAUUACACUUGAGCUGUGCGCUGAGGAGACAAUCUCAGGGGAAGUGACAGGAAAUCUUGAGCCAAGCCAGCAGCAAAAAUGGGAGGGCAGCUCCGGGCAGCGCCCUUGCUUCAGAGCCCGCGGUAUUGAGAAUCCACUUUGGUGAGUUUUGGGACCUCUGGGGGCUGCCCUGAUGUGUGCCUGGAAGCCCACAGAUGGAAGAAAGGCGUUUGCCUGGUAGACAUGUAGGCAUUCCAAAUCUCUUGGGCACAUUAUAGUCUCCUACACAUGUGUGCACAUGCAUGUGCAUUCACACACAAAGACAUAACCCCAUGCAGACAGACACAAAUGCACAUGCAUGCAACACAUGCACACACAUGCAGAAAACACACAUACAUGCAUGCCCAUGCACAUACAAAUGCACAAACCUGCAGAUACAAAGACCCUCAUGCAGUCCAUAUUCAUGCAGAUCGCAUGAACACACAAAUGCACAUGUAUGUUACACACAAAUGCACACAUGCUUACAUGCACUCACACAGAUAACAUGCAACAAACAGGUGUGUACAGAGAUGCACACAUAUAUGCCCCUGCACACACAAGACAAUAUAUGCACAACAAGCACACAUGCACAGGCAUAGACACAUGAAGACACAAGUGCGCACAUGUACAGCCACACAUAUGCUCACACAAUGUACAUGUAUAUAACAGACACGUGCAUGCACAAACACAUGUACACAUGCAAAUGCAUGCACACACAUGCUGCUCUUUGGUGGAGGUUGAAGGAGUGCAUCGCCCUCAUCCCAGCUUGGGAGGAGGUGGGAUCAGCAGGAAGGGGGUUGCCACUCCUCUUGGGACUCUUGGGGGGGUCCUCCUCACAGACUUUCCAAGCCAUGAAGCAUUUCUCAUUAUGCAGUUUCUGAGGUGAGAGAAAUAUUCUGCUCUGACUUCCCACGGGGGUAUCUCUGCUCUUGGUGAAGACAGCCUGAUGCCGACAUUCUCAAAGCCAACGUAGGUUCUUCCUCUUGCCUCCUAUGGGGUGUCCUGGGCUUCGUACUGCUUCCUGCAGCAUGUGGUGGGGGCGAUGGAAGGCACGGGGUCACAGACUGCUCACCCUCCCUGCGUUCCCCGCAUCUGCUUCUCAGGGUGUCAGCCAUCUACCGUCCUGGUGCACUGUGGGCCAUCGUCUACUUCCCUGAGUUCCCCUGGAAGUUCUGUGUCCACCAAGCUGAAGCCCGUGAUUGUAGAAGUGCUCUGCCUUGGAAGGAGCAGGCACAGAGGGGGCCUUCCAGAGCGCAGUGUGCGCAGAGCUGCUUCCCGGAGACCUUCCCGGGUACCCCACUCCUGCCGCGUCCUGCUUACCGUGUUGGAAUUAUUGCGUGCCCUUUACUACAUCCCAUGCCAUCUCCUUCCCGACUGCAAAGGCCAGCGGGGUGCUCCAUGUGGGGCUGCCGGCGCCUGAUCGUGGGAGAACCCUUGUGGUGGGGGCUUCUGGUUCACACGGCACGUGAAACCACAUCUCAGAGCAUUUCCCCAAAGUUUCACAAGAUGCAGGAUGGGCAGGCUGGAACAGACAAGUACAUAGGAACAAGGAAAACCGGUCCUAGGAAGGAUAGACCCACAGUCCACUUGGGCCACUCCUUAUCCUCCUAACAGGAUGCAGGACCGUCUUCUGUGUGUGGCCACCAGGAAGUCCCCAUGGGGCGCAGAGCAGAAGCCCAAUGGACAGCAGAUCCAUUUCCACCAUGCAGGAAGUUUCAUCAGGGUGUGGACCAUGGGAAGCAGAUAAGGUCUUCUGUGAGAACCAGGGCAGGGAGGAGGCCUCCCUAGACCAGGGCACCCAAAGGCAGCUUCCCCUCUGGGGUCUCUACCAGGCCGCAUGUGGGAGGCUGACAGGGACCCGGGGCUGAGGUCAGGGGCACCGUGAGGAAGCCAUCCCUGGAGGCAGGGACUGAGGUCCUCGGUGGAGUUUUGGGAACGGGCCCCCAGCAGAGAGUGGCUGAGACAUGGAGCAUGGAUGCUCAGCAGAGUCACAGGGGAAUUCUGAGUGAGAAGGGCCUCGAGGACGGUCCUCAUGGACAGCUGGUGCCUGACCUGGGGCCCCUGCCCUGCCUGCGGAGUAAAAGCUUUCUCAUGAACGGCUCCAGGUAGAAAGGAAUGAGGUGGCUGUGAUAAAAUAUUUGUCCUGGCAACUUCUGGGCUUUGGCUAAAGCAGGGCUCAGAGGAAGGGCCACGGCCUUUAUUGCCGACACUGCUUUCUGGGCAGGGAUUUUCUCAGCACAGUCAGGGACUACCGGUGGAGGAAGAGUCAUUGCUGCCCCAGCAGGAAGUUGCGGAUGAUGCCCGCUGACCAGGCCAGGCCUGGCGAGGUCAGCGAAGACCCACUAAGGCCCCGGUGUUCUGUGGCCCAGCGAGGUCAGCGAAGACCCCACACAUGCUCCCGUGGUCCAUAGCCCUAAGCAUAUCAGCUCUUCUUCAAGCUUCUCAUCCUUAUUCCUGUUACCUAAUGACCCUGAAUGUCUGUGCUGUUCUGGCAUCACAUUUGUGACAAACGAGGGAAGUGCAGAGACAAAGCACAUCUGUCCCCUGAAACUACUGUCCUUUUCAGCAGCCAGGUCGGGUCACCGCUGACACCCAGGUGGGCGUCCAGCCGUGAUGGGGAGAUAAGGGCUGAGACAGCGAUGGUACAGGUUAGCCGUCAAGAGUUGUCUCCACAUUACCUGAGACACGCAAGUUAGUAGUGUGUGGGUGACGUGUACGAGUCAAGAACUUGGAAAAAGAAUGAGAUGCACUUGAGGAAAGCAUAAAAGGGCUCCUGGGUGGCUCAGUCAGUUGAGUGUCUGACUCUUGAUUUCGUUGGGCUCAGGUCAUCUCAAAUGAUCUCAGGGUUGUGGGAUCGAGUCCCUGCAUCAGGCUUUGCACUGAGUGUGGAGCCUGCUUGGGAUCCCCUUUCCUUCCACCGCUCACUCCCCACUCAUCUCCCUUGCUCUCUCUCUCUUUCUCUAAAAAAAUGAAAUAAUUAACAGAAAUUAAUGGAUGAGUUAGUUAUAGAGACUCAGUAGAAUUAAUGAAUAAUGAUAAAAGCCAGUCCUUUAGGAUUCUUUAGGAGGAAAAAA
RNAcentral lists this long non-coding RNA (3955 nucleotides) under Canis lupus familiaris (dog). RNAcentral's name for it is "lncRNA (ENSCAFG00000059206.1)". The record is from RNAcentral. Lineage: Eukaryota; Metazoa; Chordata; Mammalia; Carnivora; Canidae.